Molecule: long non-coding RNA, 1786 nt
Filed under: Solanum tuberosum (potato)
Lineage: Eukaryota; Viridiplantae; Streptophyta; Magnoliopsida; Solanales; Solanaceae
Description: long non-coding RNA (STUB_LNC003969)
Source: RNAcentral
GGAGAUUGAUGGCAAAGAUUGUUAACUCCAAGUAGUUCUUUGUAUAUCUGCUUUAACUUUGGACAGAGCACACAAAAUGAGCAACACUUACUAUCUUCCACUCUACUUGGCUUUUGUUUUUCUAAUCGUACUUCUUUUGAACCUUUCAGACAUCUUACUAGUGCAGGCAAAUGGUGAAAGCAAAGUGAGAAAUGAGCAUUUUCUCUUUUACUAGUCUACUUAGUAAUAACUCUUCCAGAUUCUCAUAUGUUUUUUUAAUUGUAUAGCAGAUAUUAGAUAUGAUUGUUAAACAUAUAUAGGUUCAUGUUGUUUACUUGGGAAGAAGGAAACAAGAUGAUGUCGAACUCACAACAUCAUCUCACCAUCAAAUACUUUCUUCAGUCCUUGGAAGGUAAUCCAGGGAAAAGAUAAAGCUAAUUAAUUCCUAUGGUCUCCUCUAUACUUGAUAUUCCGAAAACAUGAAGGAAGUAACAUAUUAUAUAGUUCACAACGUUUUGUUUUCGUCUAUGUUUCUUCUAAUGCAGUCAAGAGGCAGCAAAGGAAUCUAUCAUCUACAGUUACAGACAUGGCUUUUCCGGCUUUGCAGCUAAGUUAACAGAAGCUCAAGCCAAAAGGAUUGCAGAAUUACCUGAUGUGGUCCAUGUAGUUCCAAAUUAUUUCUACCAGCUGCACACAACAAGAAGUUGGGAUUACCUUGGACUGUCCACAUACUCUCCUCCAACAAACCUUCUUCAUGAAGCCAACAUGGGAGAUGGUAUCAUCAUAGGUGUCCUUGAUACAGGUUUUGUUGGGUUUUAAAGGUGUGAACAGGAAAUGAAGGGUUGUGACUCUCCUGAAGAGUUAUGACUAUGCCGAAGGGUUGUGAGCUUUAUGAAAGGUUGUGUCCUUUCUAAAGGAUUGUGACCGUUUGAAAGGUUAUGCCUUUUCCCAAGUGUUGUGACCUUUCUGAAAGGUUGUCUUCUUUCUGAAAGGUUGUCUUCUUUCCGUUAAUCGGUUAUGUCAAUAAUUAGAAACAUAACAAAGUUAUAUUUGCAAUUUAAAUUUUUUUAUAUAUAUAUAAUAUUGAAUUUCUUAAAUAUACUUUUUAAACAUAAAUCACAAGUAAAAUGUAAAACACAAUACUUAAAAGUAUAUCAAUUAUACAUGCCCAAACAUAAAAAAAUAAACUAAAUCAUAAUGAAAAUAACUAAAAAGGGACAAAAGUAAUUAACUCCAACUUAAUUCUAAAACAUGAUUUUUCUGGUUUUCAUUUUUCUAAAUCCAAAAUCAAACCAAAAAACCAAACAAAGUAAAUUAUAAAUCCAAAACCAAACCAAAAAUCCAAAAAACCAAUCCAAAUUAGAAUUUGGUUUGGUUUUUCGGUUUAAUCCAAAUAGUGCACACCCCUAGUGUGAUUAGACAACAAUAACAAAUCCAGUGCAGUUCCACAAAGUGAGAUUUGAGGAGGGUAGAAUCUAUGCGGACCUUACCCUACUGCAAAGGUAGAGAAACAAUAAAGUUUAAUAGAAAAAGGAAUCGAGCAAUUUCCAACUAUGCUCAACUAUUAUAAAUAGUGGAGAUUGAUGGCAAAGAUUGUUAACUCCAAGUAGUUCUUUGUAUAUCUGCUUUAACUUUGGACAGAGCACACAAAAUGAGCAACACUUACUAUCUUCCACUCUACUUGGCUUUUGUUUUUCUAAUCGUACUUCUUUUGAACCUUUCAGACAUCUUACUAGUGCAGGCAAAUGGUGAAAGCAAAGUGAGAAAUGAGCAUUUUCUCUUUUACUAGUCUACUUAGUAAUAACUC